GGAGGUCCGCCUGCCCAGUGACUAAAAGUUUAACGGCCGCGGUAUCCUGACCGUGCAAAGGUAGCGCAAUCACUUGUCCCUUAAAUAGGGACCUGUAUGAAUGGCAUAACGAGGGCUUAACUGUCUCCUCCUCCUAGUCAGUGAAAUUGAUCUGCCCGUGAAGAAGCGGACAUAACAAUGUAAGACGAGAAGACCCUAUGGAGCUUAAGACACGAUAUCAACCAAGUUAACCACUAAUAACUAAAGAACAGAACACAAUGAAAACUGAUUAUCUGUCUUCGGUUGGGGCGACCGCGGGGUAAAACAAAACCCCCACGUGGAACAGGAGCAAUCCUAAGCCAAGAUAGGACACAUCUAAGCCAUAAAAUAUUUAACCAUCAAUGACGCCCCACAGGCCGAUCAACGAACCAAGUUACCCUAGGGAUAACAGCGCAAUCCUCUUUUAGAGUCCAUAUCGACAAGGGGGUUUACGACCUCGAUGUUGGAUCAGGACAUCCUAAUGGUGCAGCCGCUAUUAAGGG
Molecule: ribosomal RNA, 521 nt
Filed under: Kneria sp.
Lineage: Eukaryota; Metazoa; Chordata; Actinopteri; Gonorynchiformes; Kneriidae
Description: LSU rRNA
Rfam family: Bacterial large subunit ribosomal RNA
Source: RNAcentral